GACAGAGGAUGCAAGCGUUAUCCGGAAUGAUUGGGCGUAAAGCGUCUGUAGGUGGCUUUUUAAGUCCGCCGUCAAAUCCCAGGGCUCAACCCUGGGCAGGCGGUGGAAACUACCAAGCUGGAGUACGGUAGGGGCAGAGGGAAUUUCCGGUGGAGCGGUGAAAUGCGUAGAGAUCGGAAAGAACACCAACGGCGAAAAGCACUCUGCUGGGGCCGACACUGACAUGAGAGACGAAAAGCUAGGGGGGAGCGAAAUGGGG
RNAcentral lists this ribosomal RNA (259 nucleotides) under uncultured bacterium. RNAcentral's name for it is "partial 16S ribosomal RNA". It matches the Rfam family "Bacterial small subunit ribosomal RNA", at positions 524 to 778 of the family's 1533-position model. The record is from RNAcentral.